AAACGACUCUCGGCAACGGAUAUYUYGGCUCUYGCAUCGAUGAAGAACGCAGCGAAAUGCGAUACUUGGUGUGAAUUGCAGAAUCCCGUGAACCAUCGAGUCUUUGAACGCAAGUUGCGCCCGAAGCCUUCGGGCYGAGGGCACGUCUGCCUGGGCGUCA
RNAcentral lists this ribosomal RNA (160 nucleotides) under Rochefortia cubensis. Its description in RNAcentral is "5.8S ribosomal RNA". It matches the Rfam family "5.8S ribosomal RNA". From Rfam's summary of the family: 5.8S ribosomal RNA (5.8S rRNA) is a component of the large subunit of the eukaryotic ribosome. It is transcribed by RNA polymerase I as part of the 45S precursor that also contains 18S and 28S rRNA. The record is from RNAcentral. Lineage: Eukaryota; Viridiplantae; Streptophyta; Magnoliopsida; Boraginales; Ehretiaceae.